Molecule: ribosomal RNA, 825 nt
Filed under: Neonectria shennongjiana
Lineage: Eukaryota; Fungi; Ascomycota; Sordariomycetes; Hypocreales; Nectriaceae
Also listed under: 2 other names
Description: eukaryotic LSU rRNA
Rfam family: Eukaryotic large subunit ribosomal RNA
Source: RNAcentral
GCCCUAGUAACGGCGAGUGAAGCGGCAACAGCUCAAAUUUGAAAUCUGGCCCCCGGGUCCGAGUUGUAAUUUGUAGAGGAUGCUUUUGGUGCGGUACCUUCCGAGUUCCCUGGAACGGGACGCCAUAGAGGGUGAGAGCCCCGUCUGGUUGGACGCCAAUCCUUUGUAAAGCUCCUUCAACGAGUCGAGUAGUUUGGGAAUGCUGCUCUAAAUGGGAGGUAUAUGUCUUCUAAAGCUAAAUAUUGGCCAGAGACCGAUAGCGCACAAGUAGAGUGAUCGAAAGAUGAAAAGCACUUUGAAAAGAGAGUUAAAAAGUACGUGAAAUUGUUGAAAGGGAAGCGCUCAUGACCAGACUUGGGCUUGGUUGAUCAUCCAGGGUUCUCCCUGGUGCACUCUUCCGGCCCAGGCCAGCAUCAGUUCGCUGUGGGGGAUAAAGGCUUCGGGAAUGUGGCUCCCUCGGGAGUGUUAUAGCCCGUUGUGUAAUACCCUGUGGUGGACUGAGGUUCGCGCAUUCGCAAGGAUGCUGGCGUAAUGGUCAUCAGCGACCCGUCUUGAAACACGGACCAAGGAGUCGUCUUCGUAUGCGAGUGUUCGGGUGUCAAACCCCUACGCGUAAUGAAAGUGAACGCAGGUGAGAGCUUCGGCGCAUCAUCGACCGAUCCUGAUGUUCUCGGAUGGAUUUGAGUAAGAGCAUACGGGGCCGGACCCGAAAGAAGGUGAACUAUGCCUGUAUAGGGUGAAGCCAGAGGAAACUCUGGUGGAGGCUCGCAGCGGUUCUGACGUGCAAAUCGAUCGUCAAAUAUGGGCAUGGGGGCGAAAGACUAA